GUGCUCACUUCAGCAGCACAUAUACAAAAGUUGGAACGAUGCAGAGAACAUUAGCAUGGCCCCCGUGCAAAGAUGAUGCGCAAAUCCAUGAACAUUCCACAUUUUUU
Small nuclear RNA from Hippopotamus amphibius kiboko, 107 nucleotides. Lineage: Eukaryota; Metazoa; Chordata; Mammalia; Artiodactyla; Hippopotamidae. The record is from RefSeq and is a predicted model, not a curated record.